This 73-nucleotide transfer RNA is filed under the name Bos taurus (domestic cattle). It matches the Rfam family "tRNA". From Rfam's summary of the family: Transfer RNA (tRNA) molecules are approximately 80 nucleotides in length. Their secondary structure includes four short double-helical elements and three loops (D, anti-codon, and T loops). Lineage: Eukaryota; Metazoa; Chordata; Mammalia; Artiodactyla; Bovidae. RNAcentral also lists the same sequence under 5 other names. The record is from Rfam by way of RNAcentral.
UCCCUGGUGGUCCAGAGGUUAGGACGUCAUGAUUCAACUGCAGGGGGCACAGGUUUGAUCCCUGUUUGGGGAA